RNAcentral lists this ribosomal RNA (253 nucleotides) under uncultured bacterium. RNAcentral's name for it is "partial 16S ribosomal RNA". It matches the Rfam family "Bacterial small subunit ribosomal RNA", at positions 524 to 776 of the family's 1533-position model. The record is from RNAcentral.
UACGGGGGGGGUAAGCGUUGUUCGGAAUUACUGGGCGUAAAGGGCUCGUAGGCGGCCAACUAAGUCAGACGUGAAAUCCCUCAGCUUAACUGGGGAACUGCGUCUGAUACUGGAUGGCUUGGAUCCGGGAGAGGGAUGCGGAAUUCCAGGUGUAGCGGUGAAAUGCGUAGAUAUCUGGAGGAACACCGGUGGCGAAGGCGGCAUCCUGGACCGGUAUUGACGCUGAGGCGCGAAAGCCAGGGGAGCAAACGGG